Molecule: RNA transcript, 2516 nt
Organism: Gigantopelta aegis
Lineage: Eukaryota; Metazoa; Mollusca; Gastropoda; Neomphalida; Peltospiridae
Gene name: protein lifeguard 2-like
Exons: 14
Source: RefSeq, a predicted model, not a curated record
CCCAAUUGACCAGUGACCUUGUUCGUGACGCAGUUCGCUAGCUAGUCAAAGGAAACUAGUUUGUUGUUUUUAGUAUUAGAAGAUAUUAUUUCGCUUUUCACAGAAGCUGAUUUGUGCUUUGAGUAGAGUGCAGCUAAGAUGGCAGCUUAUCCAAGUGCCCCUCCUCCGUCCUACGACCAGGCAGCAGUCGGUUACACAAACCCACAGGAAGCCGGUUACAAAAACCCACAGGCAGCAGCUUACGCAAACCAACCGUUUGCCGAACAGGGCUACAAGCAAGAUCCAGCUUAUCCACCCCCACAGCCAGCAAUGCCACAACCAUACACCCAAGGUUACGCCCCACCUUUUGUAGCGGGCGCUGCCCCUCCUGCUCAAGUGCCAAUGGAAGAGCCAGGAGUGCAAGAGCCGGCCUUCAAAAGCAAUUCAUUUUCCGAUAAAGCUGUCAGGCGAUCAUUUAUCAAAAAGGUCUACUUGAUCCUUAUGCUGCAGCUUCUUGUCACGGUCGGCUUCAUUUGUCUCUUCAUGUUCAUAAAACCGCUGAAACACUGGAUACAGCGAGAUGGCUCCUGGCUCUACUAUGUGUCGCUUGGCACAUUUUUUGUGACCUACUUUGUCCUUGUCUGCAUUCCAAGUGUUCGCCGAAAGACGCCUGGAAAUUACAUCUGCCUUGCAGUUUUUACUCUUGCCUUCUCCUUCGUGACUGGGAACAUUGCCAGUUUCUACACGACGAAUAGUGUGCUGGUUGCAGCUGGAGUUACGGCCCUUGUUUGUCUCUCCAUCUCCUUGUUUGCCAUUCAGACCAAAAUUGAUUUCACGAUGUGCAGUGGACUUCUCUUCGUUCUAGUGAUGGUCCUCUUCUUUUUCGGCUGGUCGUCUCUGAUUGUCUACCACACGGCUGGGUACAACGCGAUUCUUGAUGCAGUGUAUGGUGGACUAGCAGCCCUUCUUUUCGGUCUGUUUCUGGUGUACGACACCCAGAUGAUUGUGGGAGGCCGGAAGAUUGAACUGUCUCCCGAGGAGUACAUCUCCGGAGCUCUCCAGCUGUACAUGGACGUUGUCUUACUUUUCCUCAUCAUCCUGUCCUGCUUUGGCAAGAGCAGCUAAUUUCAGGAUAUAAGCUGGCUUUUAACUACGUGAAGGCAAAGAGAUUUGUGGAUGCAGUUGAUAUAUGUCACCAUGUUUUAUCAAGCCACCCAAACUAUCCUAAAAUAAGAAAAGACAUUCUGGAAAAGGCCCGAUUAAGUCUGCGUGUGUGAAGAAGCUGAACAUGCUGUCAAAUUCUCAGGGCUCGAACUUAACGAUGGCACUGACAGCUAUUGCCGUAGUUGUGAUAUGAAAUACCAUCAGUAGCAGUUGACCGAUGACAUUUUAAAAACAUUUUUGCCGAUGGAUAAAAAUUAUUGCCGUCAGUUCAAGAGACUAUUUUUUGUUUUUAUAUUUGUUUCCAAAGUUACUAGCUUAUAAUUACCAUAGACAGGCUCAAAAUUGCUGUUGGUGAAUAUUUUGUCUACGGCAAAAAGAUUUCACAAUUGCUGUAGGUAACAAAAAUGUUUAUGUUCGAGCCAGAUAUUUUUGUCUGUGAUAUAAAACAUUACAAUAUUGUGAUUAUCAAUACUGUGAUGGUUGACAUGUGCCAGAAACUUGGAGUAUUUUGUACAUUGUAGGCCUAAAUAUGCAUGGAUAUACAUUUCAAAGCAAAUACCAUUCAAAUACAUUACAGGGCUAGCUAUAGCUAUUGUCAGAUUCACUAUUUGCAAAUACAUGUAUUGGAAACACUUGGUGAAUUUUAUUUUAAUUUGAUGGAAAACUGGAGAUGCAUAGUUUUUAAGAGUUCAGAGAUAGGCAGCGAAGCGCACGCUUCUUACAAUAUUAAGCGAAAUUAACCAACUGCAAUGCUGCAACCAGUUGCAAUGCAGUUUCAAAUUUGAACUGUUAUAUAUUAAUUUCGAAAACUCGAACUCCCUGAAACUCGAACUAUUUUCUCAUUCCCUUCAAGAUCGAGCUAUCGAAGUGUGACUGUACAUGUAUUGGAAACACUUGGUGAAUUUUAUUUUAAUUUGAUGAAGAAAAAAAAGCUGUACUAAUUGAUAUUUUGUUAAAAAAUAAAUAUUGUUCAUUCUGAAUAAUAACAGAUUUACAGUACAAAAGACAUCUUUAUGCUGGCUGAUGCAAGUAGUCAUGAAGUAAGUUAAAUAUGUAUAUAACUAUAAAUUUAUUUCAACAAAAUGUGUGAUAAUAUUGAUGAGAAAUGUACUGAUGUGAUCUUGACCAUGCCUGCUAUAUUAAAUUGGUUCUGAAGAAACGUAACUGUAAACUGAGAUGUAGGUGAAAGUUUCCGUUAAAAUACCAUGACUACUAGUACUAUAGGAAAACUUUUUCUCUCAUCUUCAGGUAUAUGGGACAGAGCUAUCCCAUGAAAGAAAGCUAUGUAGGAAAUUUCUAUCUUACAUGGGAUACAACGCACACUUGUUUAACAUGACGUCGUUGGUCAUAUAUGACGUCAUAUUAGUGCGAGG